AGCGAACGCUGGCGGCAGGCCUAACACAUGCAAGUCGAACGAACCUUUCGGAAUUAUUUGCGUACGGUUUAGUAACACGUCGGAACGUGCCUUUAGGUUCGGAAUACCUCAGAGAAACUUGUGCUAAUGCCGAAUGUGCCCUUCUGGGGAACGAUUUAUCGCCUUUAGAGGGGCCCGCGUCUGAUUAGCUAGUUGGUUGAGGUAAUGGCUCACCAAGGCGACGUUCACUAGCUGGUCUGAGAGAAAGAUCACCCACAUUUGAACGGAGAAACGGCCCAGACUCCUCCGGGAUGCACGAGUGCGUAAUCUUGCGCAACGGCCGAAAGGCUGACGCACUUCGGACGCGUGAACGCUGAAGGUAUUAGGAAAGAAAAGUUCUUUUACCGGGGAAGAUAAUGACGGUACCCGGAGAAGAAGCCCCGGCUAACUUCGUG
This 434-nucleotide ribosomal RNA is filed under the name uncultured bacterium. RNAcentral's name for it is "partial 16S ribosomal RNA". It matches the Rfam family "Bacterial small subunit ribosomal RNA", at positions 29 to 507 of the family's 1533-position model. The record is from RNAcentral.